Molecule: ribosomal RNA, 253 nt
Filed under: uncultured bacterium
Lineage: Bacteria
Description: partial 16S ribosomal RNA
Rfam family: Bacterial small subunit ribosomal RNA
Source: RNAcentral
UACGAAGGGGACUAGCGUUGUUCGGAAUUACUGGGCGUAAAGCGCACGUAGGCGGAUUUGUUAGUCAGGGGUGAAAUCCCGGGGCUCAACCUCGGAACUGCCUUUGAUACUGCAAAUCUCGAGUCCGAUAGUGGUGGGUGGAAUUCCUAGUGUAGAGGUGAAAUUCGUAGAUAUUAGGAAGAACACCGGUGGCGAAGGCGGCCCACUGGAUCGGUACUGACGCUGAGGUGCGAAAGCGUGGGGAGCAAACAGG